Pelodiscus sinensis (Chinese soft-shelled turtle) is the source of this 1199-nucleotide non-coding RNA. The record is from RefSeq and is a predicted model, not a curated record. NCBI's taxonomy places the organism in Eukaryota, Metazoa, Chordata, Testudines, Trionychidae.
CCUGGGUCCUACAUCCCCCCCGCUAGCCUCUCGCCUGUUGGGCGCAUGUGCGCCCGCCAUGUUGGUUUCCCCCGAUCCUGCUGGCCGCCCUGCCACGCUGCGCCGGCUUCCCGGCGCCCACUGAUCUUCCGCGCGGGGCCCGGGGUUGUGGAUCCCGCGUCCGUUAGUGCGGGGGUGCCACAGGACUACUCAUUGUUUUUGGCCUGUGAAAGAAAUACCCAGACUUUUAAGAUGCAAGCAAGAGCCAAGUACCUUCAAAAAGCUCUGAAAUCUGCUUAAAACGACAUUUAGGGUGACUCACCUGUGGGAGAUGAGGUGUGUGUCAACCCUAUAGAUGACUGAAUCAUAGGUUUGGAAGAGACCUCACUAGAAUUUUCACAUCAGCCUGAAAUGAAGACCCCUACAGUGAGAAAGAGGAAAGGGAGGAGUGAUGGGGAAGAGCUGCAAACCUGGCUGGUGAGUCAGGAGCUGUUUGAAAUUCUGCUGGAAUCCAGCCAGUCCUGGAAGUUUCUCACACUUCUGCACUUCCUAGUUCCAUUAGAAAGGUCUUGCACAAAAUUUUCAGCCUGCCUAACCAGAAAUAGAAGGCACCAGACAAACAAGAUCUUUCUACCUAAACUGUCAAUUGGUAUAGCAUAUCCAAGAGAGUCAGGACUGUCCACUCUGAAGGUGCGUUGCAUGGUGCAUGGAGCUAGGGUUGAGGAUACCUUCCAGUACUCGGAGCCCAAAUCUUCCAUGACAUCUCUACAUUUUCAUGUUUGGCCGGUAGAGGAUCCACUCCUUCACUCAUGGGCCAAUCAGUCUGGAAUUUCCUCCAUAAAUCACUGCUGAUCUUAAAAUCAUCUGCCUUACAAAUUUACUCUUCUCCCUUUAGUUUCCUCAUUACUAGGACUCCUAUUCUCCCUGAAAUAACAUCACUCUGUAUUUUUUUUACACAGCCAAUAUAUCUUUUACUUUUGGGGGUAGGAAGGCAAAGUUUUUCAAAAAUGAGAAGUGACGAUUUGGUUUUGUUCUGAGAAACUGCACUAAAGAACCUUUGAACAUGGUAUUUUUCAGGAGUAACACAAUCCCAAGAAAUCAUCACUCCCUUGUAGAGGUGGACUCAACAGGCAACCUAUCUAAAGAAAGCCUCUGAUUCAAAUGCUGAAAUUGAAACAAGUAGUUAGCAUAUCUGUGCCCAAUGUGCUACUGUGGGGCUA